CGUCCCUCAUGCUGUGUGGAUCUCCCUGUGUUUCCCUGGACAAAUUGCCUUCCUCUGAUGUGUGGUAAUCUUUAAACUGCCAGCCCUGCACACAAACACAGCAGCUAACAACAGCUCAGGGGUUUUUCAGUGCUGCUCAGAAGAUCUUACCCCAGAUCAAGAACUUCUUUCUCCCUUCAAAGUGCUCUGAAAUAAGUCCUCCAGUGGAGGCUCCCACAGUGGAAACACACAAAGGUUCACGGCGCUCAAAAAGUAGCUUGAUUUACUUGAACGGACUUCUCAUCUAUCUUAGUGUUAUCUAAAAAGACUUACCUCAAGGACAGCUGGCUUUUUGUAGUUCUUAGUUAACACUGUUAAUAUGAAAAAUUGUUUAAAUGUUUAAUGUCUCAUCUGUAUUUUACAUGUAAAUGUGUUUUGUUUGUGUUGUAAUCAUUUACAGGUUUACAUGAAAACAAAAACGUUCACUGUGGUGUAUGAGAGCUUAGAAUUAGAGAAACAUCUUACCUGCAUAAGCUACACACAGAGGCCCUCUGUGUGUAGAGUAAACACAUGACUUAACACCAAACAGCAGCAUGUGAAAGAGAACAUGAUAACAUGAAGCCUUAACAUCACUGUGGAAAGUUUACAUCUAAUAGUAAACAUAAUAUUUCCUGAAAUGGAAGGCUGCUAUUAUUCUAUGGUUUUCCUCAAUGCUAAAAAAAAAUCCUCUGACAAGUUGUGUUAGCGCAUCUUCCAGUACUUUGCUUUUUUGCAGAAAAAGACAAAAAGGUUGAUGGGUUCAGCACUAUCCUGUUAGCCCUGCUUCCAGGCUCUGGCAUCAUGUUGCAGGAGUGUGGCCCACUGGCUGUACACUGCAUUCCAGUCUGUGUUUGGUGUGGGUAGAGGAUGUAAGGUAACUCACAAUGAUGGAGUAGCUGAUGACAUACCCAAUAGAGGUUCUGAAGGACUAGGCACAAACUUUCAAGGAGAUGUUCAUGUUUAGGAGGGUUUGGAGGAAGAUUUCACUCUGGCGAGCUUGGCUGAUGACACUGGAUAUCCCAUUUUAGGCUGCUGAUGAUAGUGGUUUCCAGAAACUUCAGACUCUGCCACCUUUGCAUUGUUGAUAAGCAGUGGGGAGAAUGGAAGUGCAGACAAGUAGGUGCCCAGCUACUGACCUUCCCCUGUGGCUUCCUGUUUGGAACUCUUUAGUGUACUCCCAGAUUACUGUGGAGUAGUCUGGUGCAGACGUUCACCAGAAUAUUGGUCAGGCAUGCUAGGACAUCAAUAAAGUACCAUAAUCUUUCAUACAUGGAGAUAAGUCAAG
Oreochromis niloticus (Nile tilapia) is the source of this 1303-nucleotide long non-coding RNA. RefSeq lists it as uncharacterized. The record is from RefSeq and is a predicted model, not a curated record. Lineage: Eukaryota; Metazoa; Chordata; Actinopteri; Cichliformes; Cichlidae. The transcript is spliced from 3 exons.